Molecule: unclassified non-coding RNA, 250 nt
Filed under: plant metagenome
Description: partial contains small subunit ribosomal RNA, internal transcribed spacer 1, and 5.8S ribosomal RNA
Source: RNAcentral
GUAGGUGAACCUGCGGAAGGAUCAUUAGUGAAUAAACAGUGCAGGUUGUGCUGGCCUUCUUGGUAUGUGCACGCCUGCCAAUGUUUCAUUCUAUCUUCCACCUGUGCACUCUGUGUAGAUUCUGUAUGCUUCUGUCAGGCUUUUAUUGGGCUUGGUUGAGAGGAGUUGCUUGCUUUCCGCAAGCUCUUCUUGGGCAUGCAGGUCUAUGUUUUAUAUCAACACCAUAUGAAUGUUAUAGAAUGUGCUUUUG